Molecule: ribosomal RNA, 330 nt
Filed under: uncultured eukaryote
Lineage: Eukaryota
Description: partial 18S ribosomal RNA
Rfam family: Eukaryotic small subunit ribosomal RNA
Source: RNAcentral
CCCUUAGAUGUUCUGGGCUGCACACGUGCUACACUGGCAGGUUCAGCGAGCUUCAUGCCCUGAUCUGAAAGGAAUGGGAAAUCUUUUCAAAACCUGCCGUGCUUGGGAUAGAUGUUUGCAAUUAUUCAUCUUCAACGAGGAUUGCCUUGUAAGCGCACGUCAUCAGCUUGCAUUGAUUACGUCCCUGCCCUUUGUACACACCGCCCGUCGCUCCUACCGAUUGAAUGAUCCGAUGAAUAUCAUGGAUUGAGGAUGCAAGCAGGUUCGCCUGUCUUCAUCUUCGAGAAGUGAAGUAAAUCUUAUCAUUUAGAGGAAGGAGAAGUCGUAACA